This 484-nucleotide ribosomal RNA is filed under the name uncultured bacterium. RNAcentral describes it as "partial 16S ribosomal RNA". It matches the Rfam family "Bacterial small subunit ribosomal RNA", at positions 30 to 507 of the family's 1533-position model. The record is from RNAcentral.
AUUGAACGCUGGCGGCAGGCCUAACACAUGCAAGUCGAGCGGACGAAGGGAGCUUGCUCCUGGAUUCAGCGGCGGACGGGUGAGUAAUGCCUAGGAAUCUGCCUUGUAGUGGGGGAUAACGUCCGGAAACGGGCGCUAAUACCGCACACGUCCUGAGGGAGAAAGUGGGGGAUCUUCGGACCUCACGCUAUCUGAUGAGCCUACGUCGGAUUAGCUAGUUGGUGGGGUAAAGGCCUACCAAGGCGACGAUCCGUAACUGAUCUGAGAGGAUGAUCAGUCACACUGGAACUGAGACACGGUCCAGACUCCUACGGGAGGCAGCAGUAGGGAAUAUUGGGCAAUGGGCGAAAGCCUGAUCGAGCCAUGCCGCGUGUGUGAAGAAGGUCUUCGGAUUGUAAAACACUUUAAGUUGGGAGGAAGAGCAGUAAGUUAAUACAUUGCUGUUUUGACGUUACCAACAGAAUAAGCACCGGCUAACUUCGUG